RNAcentral lists this ribosomal RNA (388 nucleotides) under Chlorodendrales sp. RNAcentral's name for it is "partial small subunit ribosomal RNA". It matches the Rfam family "Eukaryotic small subunit ribosomal RNA", at positions 582 to 975 of the family's 1831-position model. The record is from RNAcentral. Lineage: Eukaryota; Viridiplantae; Chlorophyta; Chlorodendrophyceae; Chlorodendrales.
AUUCCAGCUCCAAUAGCGUAUAUUUAAGUAGUCGCAGUUAAAAAGCUCGUAGUUGGAUUUCGGAUGGGAUCUGCCGGUCCGCCUUUGAGGUGUGUACUGGUAGGUCCUAUCUUGUUGUCGGGGACUAGCUCCUGGGCUUCACUGUCCGGGACUAGGAGCCGACGAAGUUACUUUGAGUAAAUUAGAGUGUUCAAAGCAAGCCUACGCUCUGAAUAUAUUAGCAUGGAAUAACACGAUAGGACUCUGGCUUAUCUUGUUGGUCUGUGAGACCAGAGUAAUGAUUAAGAGGGACAGUCGGGGACAUUCGUAUUUCAUUGUCAGAGGUGAAAUUCUUGGAUUUAUGAAAGACGAACUUCUGCGAAAGCAUUUGUCAAGGAUGUUUUCAUCA